GACGAACGCUGGCGGCGUGCUUAACACAUGCAGGUCGAACGGAAAGGCCCUGCUUUUGUGGGGUGCUCGAGUGGCGAACGGGUGAGUAACACGUGAGUAACCUGCCCUUGACUUUGGGAUAACUUCAGGAAACUGGGGCUAAUACCGGAUAGGAGCUCCUGCUGCAUGGUGGGGGUUGGAAAGUUUCGGCGGUUGGGGAUGGACUCGCGGCUUAUCAGCUUGUUGGUGGGGUAGUGGCUUACCAAGGCUUUGACGGGUAGCCGGCCUGAGAGGGUGACCGGCCACAUUGGGACUGGGAUACGGCCCAGACUCCUACGGGAGGCAGCAGUGGGGAAUAUUGCACAAUGGGCGGAAGCCUGAUGCAGCAACGCCGCGUGCGGGAUGACGGCCUUCGGGUUGUAAACCGCUUUCGCCUGUGACGAAGCGUGAGUGACGGUAAUGGGUAAAGAAGCACCGGCUAACUACGUG
RNAcentral lists this ribosomal RNA (468 nucleotides) under uncultured bacterium. RNAcentral's name for it is "partial 16S ribosomal RNA". It matches the Rfam family "Bacterial small subunit ribosomal RNA", at positions 28 to 507 of the family's 1533-position model. The record is from RNAcentral.